UGUUCUGUGGCUUAGUUGGUUAAUGCGCCGGUCUAGCGAAUACGGAGUCGUGGUUCAAAUCCCACCAGAACGC
Molecule: non-coding RNA, 73 nt
Organism: Aedes albopictus (Asian tiger mosquito)
Lineage: Eukaryota; Metazoa; Arthropoda; Insecta; Diptera; Culicidae
Source: Rfam